AGUAUGAUACACUGGGAACCUCUGUCAAGGCUGCUCUUGUAUACCUUGGGACGGCUUUAGUUAAGCUGGUUUGCCUAGCAACUUUUCUCAAAGUAUCAGAAAAUGAGAGCUUUGAUCCUUACCAGGAAUUGCUGAAAGCUCUGAUUGGUUUAUAGAUGUAGCAGGGCUCUACUUUGCCUUAACACAGCUGACUCAUAGGAAUAUAUCACAAAACCAUAAGUUCCAAGCUGUAGGCCUUGGAUGGGCUUUCGCGAUUCUGUCUUACAUAGGCUAGCACCCCUUUGGGUUGGUGCCCG
Eucalyptus grandis is the source of this 296-nucleotide long non-coding RNA. RefSeq lists it as uncharacterized. NCBI's taxonomy places the organism in Eukaryota, Viridiplantae, Streptophyta, Magnoliopsida, Myrtales, Myrtaceae. The record is from RefSeq and is a predicted model, not a curated record. The transcript is spliced from 4 exons.